AGAGUUUGAUCCUGGCUCAGGAUGAACGCUAGCGGCAGGCUUAAUACAUGCAAGUCGAGGGGCAGCACAGUAUAGCGAUAUAUGGGUGGCGACCGGCAAACGGGUGCGUAACACGUACGCAACUUACCCUUUACUGGGAGAUAGCCCAGGGAAACUUGGAUUAAUAUCCCAUAUUGCAGAGAAUCGGCAUCGGUUUUCUGCCAAAGUUCCGACGGUAAAGGAUGGGCGUGCGGUUGAUUAGGUAGUUGGCGGGGUAACGGCCCACCAAGCCUACGAUCAAUAGCUGAUGUGAGAGCAUGAUCAGCCACACGGGCACUGAGACACGGGCCCGACUCCUACGGGAGGCAGCAGUAAGGAAUAUUGGGCAAUGGACGCAAGUCUGACCCAGCCAUGCCGCGUGAAGGAUGAAGGCCCUCUGGGUUGUAAACUUCUUUUAUCUGGGGCGAAAGGCGGUUAUUCUUAGCCGUUUGACAGUACCAGAGGAAUAAGCACCGGCUAACUCCGUGCCAGCAGCCGCGGUAAUACGGAGGGUGCAAGCGUUAUCCGGAUUCACUGGGUUUAAAGGGUGCGUAGGUGGAUCUGUAAGUCAGAGGUGAAAUCCCCGAG
This 606-nucleotide ribosomal RNA is filed under the name uncultured freshwater bacterium. RNAcentral describes it as "bacterial SSU rRNA". It matches the Rfam family "Bacterial small subunit ribosomal RNA", at positions 8 to 607 of the family's 1533-position model. The record is from RNAcentral.